UGUUGAACUUCUCUGAAGAAAGGGCAACAAUGAUUGCAGCUGUGGAUUUGCAGGAAUUUGUUCCUUUCGGUCGAGACCACUGCAAACACCACCCUAUGCUUUGAACCUUCAGCUUCAGCAGCUGCAGCCAGCCUCUGAGCUGUGGUCGUCUGAUGGUGCUGCUGGCUUGGUGGGAUCCCUGCAGGAGGUUACACUCCACGAAAAACAGAAGGAAAGCUGGCAGCUAAGGAGAGGCGGAAGUGAAAUUGGAGAUGUGGAUUAUGACAAGGAACUCAAUGUGGCUGGAAAUAUGGUGAUAUGGAGCAAAGGAAGUACAAGCCAGGCCUUUACAAGGCCUUUACAGUUAAUAGUCCUGUUCAAAAGUGUGGUGAGAGUCAGGGGACUGGCUCUGAAGGAAGGAUUUCUCAAAGAAGUUGCUGAUUGAACUGGAAGUUGGGAAAAGAAGGGCAUUCUAGGCAGAGGGA
This is a long non-coding RNA of Myotis lucifugus (little brown bat), 464 nucleotides long. RefSeq lists it as uncharacterized. The transcript has 3 exons. NCBI's taxonomy places the organism in Eukaryota, Metazoa, Chordata, Mammalia, Chiroptera, Vespertilionidae. The record is from RefSeq and is a predicted model, not a curated record.